AGCGAACGCUGGCGGCAGGCCUAACACAUGCAAGUCGAACGAACCUUUCGGGGUUAGUGGCGGACGGGUGAGUAACACGUGGGAACGUGCCUUUAGGUUCGGAAUAACUCAGGGAAACUUGUGCUAAUACCGAAUGUGCCCUUCGGGGGAAAGAUUUAUCGCCUUUAGAGCGGCCCGUGUCUGAUUAGCUAGUUGGUUGAGGUAAUGGCUCACCAAGGCGACGAUCAGUAGCUGGUCUGAGAGGAUGAUCAGCCACAUUGGGACUGAGACACGGCCCAAACUCCUACGGGAGGCAGCAGUGGGGAAUCUUGCGCAAUGGGCGAAAGCCUGACGCAGCCAUGCCGCGUGAAUGAUGAAGGUCUUAGGAUUGUAAAAUUCUUUCUCCGGGGACGAUAAUGACAGUACCCGGAGAAGAAGCCCCGGCUAACUUCGUG
RNAcentral lists this ribosomal RNA (434 nucleotides) under uncultured bacterium. RNAcentral describes it as "partial 16S ribosomal RNA". It matches the Rfam family "Bacterial small subunit ribosomal RNA", at positions 29 to 507 of the family's 1533-position model. The record is from RNAcentral.